UCCAGAGCGCAAGCUCACGCGCCUCUCCGCUGAGGGCCUCGCGCGCCCCCUGGUGACAAACUUUGAGGCCCAGGAGCAAUCCCACCUUCACCCCUGGUCCACUUGACUGGAUGAUGAGGGAGCAUGACAUCUUUAGGGCUCAGUAGUGUGCAUACAUAUCCUGAGAAGAAAAUACCUUUAGUCUAGGCCCACUUAAAAGGAUAUAAAAUCCAGAUGGCUGAAUGCCUGCUGACAAAGGAAGGAUAUAUGCACUCCCACUGACAAAUAGAUGGAUCUUCUUCCUUUUGCAGCGCAAUCUCCAGCAUUCCAUGUGGACUUAGGUCACUAAGCAAGAGGCCAUUUCUAACAACCAACUGAAAAAGGGUAGACAUUGUUUAGACAGCUUCAUGGCUCCAUACCCCUUUCCCAGGCAUACCUCUCCAGAAGUCAUCUUGUAUAAUCCCCUGGGCCUCUGACCCUAACUGGCUGAGCUAGGUCAACCCAAGUCUUUCCAGGGAUUUUGGAUCUGGAACUCUCUCCAGGUAGCAAAGGUGUAACAUGAAACUCUGGCACUGUACAGCCUUGUUUCCUGCUAAGUAGACAAAGGAGCAGAUGCAUCUGGUCUUGCACUGAGCAACAGUGGAAGAAAUGCUGAGACAGAGGUGAAGGCCUGCAUUGCUGUCACCCCAGCUGUGACCCCAACUUCCAAGGCUCCUGAAGCCCAGGCACAUCCUGCCUUUCCCUGAGGCUUCUCUGGCCACUUGCCACAGGAUCCUUCCAGUAAAGCCCCCUCUUGUUUAAUGGUUUCUGUCAUUUGCAACCAAGAGUCCUGAUAAAUACAACCCGGCAACACUGGUAUCUGUAGGUUUCAAAGCUACUUCAGCAGCUUCCACCAGAAUUUACUAAAUACACACAUUCACUUAAGAGGUAUUUCUCAAGGCCCUCCUAAGUGCCAUGCCCCAUGCCAAACACUAGAAAGAGAAAGAUAAAUGGUAGGUGACUCUUCCUCAUCCAGAUCCUGUACUUGGGAACAACAGUGAACCCCACAUUUGGGCCUGAGGUCAAGAAUUGGAAGGGCUGCCUGACUUUGUGUAAGUAGCUCCCUCUGGGCCUGUUUGCCCACCAUAAAGUGAAGUGACUGGACCAGUAGUUUUAAAACUGUAAUCAGGGGGAACCCUAGUGUUCCACAGGGGUACUUGAGGCAGGUUGAAUGGCUCUUGUGCCCUCUUCUACUUGCUCACUUGGGCAAGCCUGGUUUUAUGCAGCAGCUUCUGUGUCCAGUUUCUUUGGGUGAAAGCAGCCUUUGCUGAAGGAAACAUUUUACCAGAUGACCCCACGGUCCAAACUUCCAGUGUUUCUAGCUCCAAAGUCCUCAUUCAAAAAUGUUAGCCUUUUGCCUUUGUCUCCUUCUCUGUGCUCGUCAUUAGGGGCACUCACUAAUGAAAGGUGAACUUGCUAAAUCUGAAAGAGCAAAAAGGGCCCAAAGCUGGACAACUGGUCCCUAAAUCAAGGGCCCUUUCAUCAAAAGUUGUUCCCCAAGAGCUCCAAGCAGGUUGUUUAAUCCUCAUAAUAAAGGGUAAAUAAAAGGCAUUAAAUAACCCCACUCGAAGGCUUCAAAGCUGGUGUUUCUUCACUUAGCAAAUAUUAGUCAUGGGCCAAAAAAAUCUUUUAUGUUACUGCAGAAAGCGGUGAGGUGAUUUCUGGGAUUUUCCUAUUUUCUUUGUCAGUUAGUAGAGACUAUCAUCAUCAUUUUAUUAGCAGGGAACCAUGUUUUCAUUUCCUGAGAUAAGUCAGGAACUCCAAAACAUGAGCCCUGGCUUGCUGAUUCAGAUCUGGAGUGGUGCCCCAUAAGUAUAUUUUUUAAUAGCUCAGCAAGUGACCCUGGUACUCAGCCAUGUUUGGAAUGGCAGGGCUUGUAUCCUGCAGGAGUCCUGAAUAUAACUUACUUUCUAGGCUUCUCUGCUCCACUUACAAAAAUAUUGCUCAGUCCUAUAAUUCUGCGAAGUAUAGGACUGGGGGUGUGUGUGUGUGUGUGUGUGUGUGUGUGUGUGCAGGAUCUUGGAGAUCUGGAAAACAGACCCCUGCCCUGCAGGAACUUAUCCAGAGUCCUCGUACAGGCCAUUUAGGAGAAGCCCCAUGUCUCCAACAAGGUCCUAAGCUUGGGAAGGGCAAAAAUGGAGGCCUGUGCUGAGCUCCAGCCCUGCAGGAUGGUGGGAGACUAGGCAGUCAACCAUUAAGAACUGAUGUGUACCAAGCACGAACUCACAGAAGUGUUCGAGUUGGCCCUGUAAGUCGGAAACAACAUUUUAUUUAUUUGUAAUUCCCAUGAAAAGAAACAUCAAUCCUCUGCCAUGUGAUUAAGAAAGACAACAGGGUUUCAUUAUUAUUAUUAUUUUAUUUUCAUAUACAAAAAGAUAAAACUUGAAAUAGCUCUAGAUUUUCCCUCCUAUUCUGUUGGGGUGUGGCUG
Non-coding RNA from Equus caballus (horse), 2447 nucleotides. NCBI's taxonomy places the organism in Eukaryota, Metazoa, Chordata, Mammalia, Perissodactyla, Equidae. The record is from RefSeq and is a predicted model, not a curated record.